This is an RNA transcript of Nerophis ophidion (straightnose pipefish), 1121 nucleotides long. It is a transcript of the gene named eukaryotic elongation factor 2 lysine methyltransferase, with no coding region annotated. The record is from RefSeq and is a predicted model, not a curated record. The transcript has 9 exons. NCBI's taxonomy places the organism in Eukaryota, Metazoa, Chordata, Actinopteri, Syngnathiformes, Syngnathidae.
UUCUCGCGAUAGUUCGACGAAGCACAAGGAAGGAGCCUGAAGGAAAAAAGUGGCAAAUGAAAGAUGAUGGUCGCAGAAUCAAACGAAAAACACUCGAGAAAUGAAAACAAAGACGAAUUCUUAAAACAAUUUAAAUCUUGUUUUUUCUCUACAAGUCGUCUUGCUUUAUUUCCCUGGACUGUUUUAGAACAGGAAUUGGAACUCAGCGAAUCAUCACAAAUAAUCCUGGCUGUCCUCAAACAGACUUGUCUUCACCGGCUGUGCAAGAAGUUUCCCCCGUCAGCGCGAUACAGGAAGUUGUUUCUAACCGAGCUGAUCAGGCGGGUGGAGGCGGCCGACUGCGAGCCUCUGGACGAGCUCUACGACUCUCUGGCGGAGGUGGUGUCGGCCCAGGAAGCAGCGGAAGGAUACAGAACUUUCUUACUGCCGUGUGGUGGCACAGUCAGCUUGUUGGAGAACCGGGCACUGAUCUCAGAAGGGACGACAGGGUUGGUGACCUGGGAAGCUGCCCUUUACCUGGCCGAGUGGGCCUUGGACCACCCGCAGACGUUCACUAGCCGGAAGAUUCUGGAGCUGGGCAGCGGCUUGGGCUUGACCGGUGUGACCGUGUGUCGCUCCUGCAGCCCGUCCAAGUACGUCUUCAGCGACGCUCACCGCAGCGUCCUGCAGAGACUGGAGGACAACGUCCGGCUCAACAGACUCCUGGAGAAUGACGCGACCCCUGAGGUCAGCGUGGAACAGCUGGACUGGACCGACGUGACGGAUGAACGCUUGGACGAGAUCGGCGCCGAUGUGGUCAUCGCUUCAGGGUUGGAUCAUAGUCUCCUGUUCACCUGGUUCCCUUUACGUGGUGUACGAUCCAGACAUCAUAGCGGGUCUGUCCCAGCUGCUGUCCAGAAUACUCAGACCAAAACGCGGGCGUAUCUCCCCUGAGGUCUUCAUCUGCUCCACUGUGAGGAAUCCACAGACGUAUAGCGGCUUCAAGAAGCAGCUUGGCGAUGCAGGAAUCGGCCAUCAUGUGAUGGGUGGUGCUGUCGGUCACGUGUUUCAGUACGACAGAGUCUCCAGCAUAGAGCUGAUCCAGUUGUACGUCUGACAUUAAAGAUGGUUUUAUUUACAAA